AAAUGAAUAGACGGGGGCCCGCACAAGCGGUGGAGCAUGUGGUUUAAUUCGAAGCAACGCGAAGAACCUUACCAGGUCUUGACAUCCCGCUGAUCGGUGUAGAGAUAUGCCUUUCCUUCGGGACAGCGGUGACAGGUGGUGCAUGGUUGUCGUCAGCUCGUGUCGUGAGAUGUUGGGUUCAGUCCCGCAACGAGCGCAACCCUUGUCGUCAGUUGCCAGCACGUAAAGGUGGGCACUCUGGCGAGACGGCCGGUGAAAGCCGGAGGAAGGUGGGGAUGACGUCAAAUCAUCAUGCCCCUUAUGUCCUGGGCUACACACGUGCUACAAUGGCCGGUACAACGGGUAGCGAACCCGCGAGGGGGAGCCAAUCCAAAAAACCGGUCUCAGUUCGGAUCGCAGGCUGCAACUCGCCUGCGUGAAGCUGGAAUCGCUAGUAAUCGCGGAUCAGCAUGCCGCGGUGAAUCCGUUCCCGGGCCUUGUACACACCGCCCGU
Molecule: ribosomal RNA, 493 nt
Filed under: uncultured bacterium
Lineage: Bacteria
Description: bacterial SSU rRNA
Rfam family: Bacterial small subunit ribosomal RNA
Source: RNAcentral